UACGGAGGGUGCAAGCGUUAUCCGGAUUCACUGGGUUUAAAGGGUGCGUAGGCGGAUUAGAAAGUCCGUUGUGAAAUCUCUGAGCUUAACUCGGAAAUUGCGGUGGAUACUAUUAGUCUUGAAUACUGUGGAGGUUAGCGGAAUAUGUCAUGUAGCGGUGAAAUGCAUAGAUAUGACAUAGAACACCAAUUGCGAGGGCAGCUGGCUACACAGAUAUUGACGCUGAGGCACGAAAGCGUGGGGAUCAAACAGG
This 253-nucleotide ribosomal RNA is filed under the name uncultured bacterium. Its description in RNAcentral is "partial 16S ribosomal RNA". It matches the Rfam family "Bacterial small subunit ribosomal RNA", at positions 524 to 776 of the family's 1533-position model. The record is from RNAcentral.